GGCUAAACCCAAUUUGCCCUAAGAAAACAAAAUAACAAUAGGUAGCAGGCCAUCAUCUGUUUAGCCUACACAAAACAAAACAAAAAAGAGAAAAUAAAUGAAAUUUUAAAUUGCUUCCAGCCGAACAGUCAGUUGGUCCUCAUAAAUGAUUCUGACUUUUCCUCUGCCCAAGACCACUGAAACGUAAAAGCAUAUCUUCUCAAAUCUUUUCCUUGUCAAUUUGCUUUUCAGAACAGUGCUAUUUCCUACCAUUUCAAGCAUCGCCCCAUAUUACUGAAAGCUGAGGUCUUCCCAUUUUCUUUUACUCUGAAGAACCCAGAUGAUUUGGCUCUGAUUCUCUUCUAGAUGAUCUUAAGGUCUCUCCCUCCAGGUACUGUUCCUCUCCCUUCUUAAGUGUUUCUUUUGCUAGACGAUGGGCUUCUGUGUUUUCUAACCUCGGGAUAAAAUAGAAUCUGAUUUCUUGAUACUGAUCCUUUAAGCUUUGAAUAUCACUGAUUAUUGCCCCUAUUUCUGAUAUGUCUCGACUUGUAUUUUGGCAUUUUGUAAUCACUGUUCUUGAGUCUCCGGUUAUAUCUAAAGUAUGAUAGCCCAACUGAAUCCCUAACCUUAUUGCUUGUAAACCUGCAAAUGCUUCUGCCGCGAAUGGAGAUGCAAUAUUUUCAUGAAGGGUCGACUUUACUGCAACGAUCCUACCUUCCUCAUUUCUAACAACUAGGCCUGACGCAGAUCUGGAAUUCUGUAAGUCGAAAGCCACAUAAAAAAAAAAGAUGGCCUUUUUCGCCCUUUGUAAACUUUGUCUAUGCCUCACACUAGUUUCCACGUUGAGUUCCUUAUCUCUACUCCCUUCCAGUUCCAGAAUAUAGCUUUUUAUUUGUUUGGAGAUAUCUCUGCUAGUGCUUGAUCUGUUUUCAUAUAAUAAUUUAUUUCUGUUUGUCCAGAUUAACCAGAGCCCGCAACAGAAAUCCCUGCACUGUUCGUUUGUCCCUUGGCUGAAAACCCAAGUAAGCCAACUCCAGAUAUCCAAAUGACUAUUGUUGAGUAUCCAUGAAAAAUUUAAGUGACUCCAUAUUUCCUUUGCUGUAGGGCACAGAUGGAAAACAUGGAAACUAUCUUCUCCUUCCUGACCGCAUCUCGAACAUCGAUCCUCAGCCAUCACUUUUCGCAGCUCUAGAUUGGAGAAAAUGGGAAUGUAAUUCCACGCUAUUUUUCAUACUGUAAUCUUGAUUUUUAAGGGCAUAUGUAAAUUCCAUAGUUUUCUGUAGAAAUUUUUAGUAUCGGUCUGUAAAUAAACACUAGGAUCAAUUGUAGCUUUCUGUAAUAGUAUAUAGGCACUCCUUACUGAAAAGUCACCAGUUGCCUCCCCUCUCCAUACUUGGAUGUCUUUAUGGAUUAACUUUGAAAGCGGAAUCUGUAGUAUUUUCCUAGUGAUAUCCGAGUUAAAGGUACGGACAAUCAAGUGUCUAUUCCAUGUUCUGCUUUCCUCAUUGAUUAAGUCAAACACUACUCUAAUAUUUUUAAUGUUGCUGUUAUUCUGUAUUCUGUCUACAGUCAUUCUCGGCACCCAUAGAUCAUUCCAUACUGAAAUGUGGUCUCAUUUACCAACUCUUUAGCAUAAUCCAUCUGUGAGGAGUUUUUUUGUUGACCAAAUACUCCUCCAGGUAAGUGAAGGUAAGUUACUCAAAAAAGCAUUUAAGAAGUUUGUUGUUGAAAAAUAUUUCACUUUUAAAACUUGGGCUAAUAAAGAACUCGGAUAAUUAAAAAGACGCCAACCCUGUUUUGCCAGCAAAGCUAUGUUAAAUUUAUCAAGACUUCUAAAACCUAACCCACCCAAUUCUUUUUCAAUGCAAAUAUCCUCCCAAGCACACUAAUGGAUCUCUCUUUUUUCCCCUUAUUUUUCUGCCACCAAAAUUUUGCAAUAAUACCAUCUAAUUCCUUGAAAAAAGAUUUAGGGAGUAAAAAACACGUCAUUGAGUAGGUUGGUAUAGAUUGUAAAACAGCUUUGAUGAAAACCUCUUUACCUCCUUGUGAGAGAUAUCUGAUACUCCAAUUGUCAAUUCGUUGCUUGAAUCUAUCCUUCAGCAUCUGGAACGCUGCCUUAUUCCUUCUACCCACCAGGCUAGGUAGCCCUAAAUAUCUUUCCAUAUCAUCUGAACUUCGUACCCCAAUAACUCGAAUAAUUGUUCUUCUUUCUCCUUCCUAAGUAUUGCUGCUGAAAAAAAUUGUGGAUUUUGAAAAGUUAACUUUCUGACCCGAGCAAAUUUCAUAUUCACGGAUGACCUGUUUUAAAAAAAAUUAAACCCCUCUCAGUAGCUUCCCCAAACAGUAUGCAAUCAUUCGCAAAAAGUAAAUGUGAAACAUGCGGCCCGCUUCUGCUUGUUUUGACACCUCUUAUUUUGUUCUCCUGCAUACCUAAUUUCAUAAGGCUAGAGAGACCUUCUCCAUAGAACAAGAAUAAGAACAGACUCAACGGGUCCUCUUGUCGUAAUCCUCUUGAAGGAUAAAAGAAGUCUCCAUUAUGUCCAUUAAGGACCACUGAAUAUGAAACUCUAUUAACGCAUCUUAAUAGUUGGGUCACCAACUCUGAAUCAAAACCCAUUUUCUUUAUUAUUUCCUCCACAAAAUUUCAUUCCACCCUAUCAUAUGCCUUGCUCAUAUCCAACUUGACCGCCAUAAAACCCUUCUUCCCUGACCGCUUCUGUUUCAAUGUAUGGAUUAAUUCAUAAGCCAGCAACACGUUAUCUGAGAUCAAUCUCCCAGGCACGAAAGUGCUUUGUGCAGGAUCAAUGCAUUUGUCUAACACUUUCCGAAUGCGAUUAGCAAAAACUUUAGCCAUUAAUUUGAAGAUUACAUUACACAAACUAAUAGGCCUAAAGUGCGAUAUAUCUAUUGGAUUUGAAAUUUUCAGAAUUAAAACAAUAUUUGUUCUAUUGACUGGGCCUAUCUCCAUCUUUCCAUUCAGUUGAUCAAGACAAUAAGAAGUGACCUCCUCUCUGAUAAUUGCCCAACACUUCUGAUAGAAUAACGUUGGAAAUCCAUAUUCCCCUGGUGCCUUAGUGGGCCCUAAUUCUGCCAAAGCCUGCUGAAUUUCCUCCUUUGUAUAUCUCUCUUUUAACAUUAAAUUAUCUUCAUUUGAAAUACAUCGAUGAACUCCAGAUAAAACAUGCUCAUAAUUUGCAGAUAUGCCAGUGAAAAAUAACUGUUUGAAAUAUGAUCUAGCAAUCAUUUUCAUUUCUUUUCAUUCUUCCGUCUCCCUCCCAUCAUCGUUCUUCAUUUUGUGAAUCAGGUUCCUCUGUCGUUUCUGUGUAGCUUGUUUGUGGAAAAAGGCUGUAUUUUUAUCCCCAAAUUUUAACCAGUUAACCCUCGCUAUUUGUUCCCAAAAGCACUCAUCCUUUUCGAUCUCGAAGUUAAGUUGGAUCUUUGUAUCAAUCUGGUCGGCUAGAUUUUCUUCAUUUCUUUCUGCUUCUAGUAGUGAAGCCAAUUUUGAUGAUAACAACUUCUUCCUUUCUUUUCUAGAAAAUCGAAUUUGACUAGCCCAUCGCUCCAGCCCCCUUUUCAUACUGUCCAACUUGCUUAAAAACUCUCCUUCAGAAUGUCCCAUAUGUCUUUAACCGUAUUUUAAGAACGAGUCCUCCAGUACCCACCAUGCUUCAAAUUUGAAACAUUUUUGUAUUCUCUCUCUGCACCCCUUCUUUGUGUUAACCAGUAAUGGGCAAUGGUCAGAAAACGUAUAUGGAAGAUGUUGAAGCUAAAAAUCAGGAAAUAAAUGCAGCCAAUCUUCUGUCGCCACUCCUGUAUCUAACCGCUCUUGAAUAUUAUUUUCAGGUAAGUUCCCCCUUUCCCACGUAAACCAGUUUCCAAUAAACCCCAUAUCAGAUAAAUUAAAUUCCUCUAAAGUCUUACAAAAACCUUCCAUUCGUCCUUCCUCUCGCACUAAACCGCUUUUUUUUUCAAAACUAUACAGAAUUUCAUUAAAAUCUCCACAAAUCAUCCAUGGUAACUCCCUACCCAUACCUAACUGCCGUAAUAGGUUUCAUGUCUUAGCUCUAUCAUGUGAAUAUGGAGACCCAUAAAAACCUGUAAACCUCCGUUUGUAUCCUUCAUCCUCUUCAUCAAUGAUCACAUCAAUAUGCUGUUUUGAAAAACUCUGAAGCUGAAUAUUUUUAUACUCGCACCAAGCCAAACACAGCCCACCUCUAGAACCAUCUGAACUCACAUCAAUACCGUUUAAAAACCUACAACUCCUUCGAACUCUUUCCAUUUGAUUAUUACUUAUUUUUGUCUCCAUGAAGAAGACUACUUGGGGAUUAUAUAAGUUCAGUAUAUACCGAAAUCUCCGAAUUGUCCGUGGACUCCCCAAUCCACGGAUAUUCCAGCUUAGGAUUUUUAUUGCACUCGGUCGGCUUGCCACUUGGCAGCCACCGAUGAUUGAUGACUAACCUCUAUUGUUCUCCUACUCUUUGCCGCCAAAAUAUUUGUCUCCUCUUUGGUCAGAGCUGCUUCCAUCUCCCUUCUGUUUCUCUUCUUGCCCUCCUCACCAAUAAACACUUCAUCUUCAAGAUCAUGUUCCAUUGAGUUAUUCAUCAGAAUCCCACUCCAAUUCUCAUUUACUUCCCAUGUUUGAGAUCUACUUCCUACAAGGUUUAUCCUUAAUAUUGGUGUAACAGCCCAAUUUCGACUCUAAUCGAACAUAGUGGUUUCAGGACCACAACUCCAAGACCAAAAAAAAAUAUUUUAAUAUUAUUUUGUCUGUUUAUUUUGUGUGCAUUUGAUUGUGUGAAAUUUUCGUGUUUUAAUUUUGUUGUUUGAGUGUCCGAUUAAAUAAAAGGAUUAAAUCACGUAAAAUAAAAAUUUAAUGGUUAAAUAUGAAAGUGUCUAUUUGUUGUUGUCUUUAUAAUUUGGAGGAUUUAAGAAGCAAUUAGCCCACCAUUAGGUGAGUGGAUGGCAAUGGUCAAGAAUGACCUUAUAAUAUGUGUUAUACAUUAUAUUUUAACAAAGGUUAAUUAAGUAAAUUAAUUAUUAUGGUUAAUAUAUGUUAAAUAUAACAAAUUUAAAACAUGUUCUUCAUCUUUUUCUACCGAAACCAAGAGAGAAAAUAAGGGUUCAAAGCUUUGGAAAAUUCGGCACUUACAAAGCUUGAUUAAGGUAUGAAUAUUGUUCGGUUUUUGAUAAUUUUUAUGUUUUUGAGAUCGUUGCUUCGGGUACUAUUCGACCCAUGCUUGAAUUUUUGAUUUUGAUGAAUAUUUUGAGCUAUGCCAUUUAUGAAUAAUUGUGUUUUGUGAUGUUUGAUAAUGAAUAAUGAAAGAUAUGUUUUAGAUUAAUAUGUUUUGUAUUGGAAUUUUUGGUGAAAUUGAGUAAAUAGGGUGAAAUUGCAAAAAUAAUAUUUUUAGAGACUAAAAUGUGAAAUAAAUGAAAUGAGUGGACUUGUAUGAAGACAAGGAACAUUCGGCCCUAGCUUAGUGUGGGCAAAUUUUGUGUAUUUUGUGUUUUGUGCAAAAAGGACUAAAUUGCAAAAAGUGUAAAAUGUUAGGGGCAAAAUAGUAAUUUUCCCAUUUAUGUAUUUUUGGACUUAAUUGAAUAUUUUGAUGAAUAAAAAGGUUAAAUUUGAUUAUGUUUAGAUCAAUAAACAAAGAGAGCGGAUUUGGAUCGGGGAAAAACGAAAGUAAUCGAAUAGUCGAUCGUGUCCUUUGAUAUCCGAGGUAAGUCUAUUAGCAAUUUGAUGUUAUUAAAUCAGCAUAUAUGUAUGUAUAUCUAUUGUAUUUUGAUGAGUUGAAAUCGAAAGUAUAUAGAUUGAAUUUGGUUAAAGUAUGAAUGAUAUUUAUAUAUAUAUGUAUACAUAAGGUCCGAAUAUAUAUAAGUAUAUACAUGUAUAAACCCUUAGACUUGGUUAAAGGCAUGAAUGUUAUAUAUAUGUAUAUGUGAGUUGGAACAUAUAAGUAUAUACCUGAAUAAGUCUUGAAUAUAUUUAAAGGUAUGAAAGUUAUGUAUGUAUAUGUAAUUUCGAAUAUGUAUAUGUAUAUAUAUAUGCAUAUCUAUUGUUUAUUUGGUGAGCUAUAAUUAAAAGUAUAUGGAUCGAAAUUAGUUAAUGUAUGAAUGUUAUAUAUAUAUGCAUAAAUGAAGUUCGAACAUGUAUAUAUAUGUAUAUGAUCUUAAAUUUAGUUAAAGGUAAGACUGUUAUAUAUAUAUAAGAUUCGAAAAUGUAUAUAUUUAUGUAUAAGAUUUUGAAUUUAAUUAAAGGUAUGGACGAUAUAUUUAUAUAUAUAAGGUUCAAAUAUAUAUAUGUAUAUAUAUAGGUAUAAGUUUUUGAAUAGAAUUAAAAGUAUGAAUUCUAUAUAUAUAUACGUAGGUGUGAGGUUUGAAUAUAUAGUUAUGUGUAUAUAUAUGUAUUUGAAUUGAAUGUAAAGUAUGGACUUUACAUAUGCAUGUGUGUGGUUCGAAUAAAUAUAUAUACAUAUACAAAUACUUGAGUUGGAUUAAAAGUAUAAUUUGUAAAUGCUUAUAUGAUUCAAACAGGGAUUACAAAUUUCUUUUUGAGAUAAAGUUGAGGUUGUGAAUUAUACAUAAAUGUUAUGAACAUGUGUUGCUAUUAAGAAAUAUACGAGGAAAUCAUCUUUGUAUCUGUGAAAUUGAAAUUUUCAGGUUAAGCGCCUAGAAGGCUUAAUGCCGGUGAAUUUUUCAAAUUAUAAGUCUAGCAGGCUAAGUGCCGGUGAUUGAAAUCAGGUUAUAAACCUAGCAGGCUACGUGCCGGUGAUAUGAAUCAGGCUAUAAGCCUAGCAGGCUAAGUGCCGGUGAAUAUGUUAAAUUAUGUGAUUAUAUGCAUUAGAUAGAUUUAUAAAUAUAACUAAUUUUGGGUUAUAUAUAUAAUGAAUAAGUAUAUGAAUAUUUAUUUAUAUGUGUUCGAUGAGCUUAUAAAUGUUUCAACCUAUGAGUUUAGUGAAUAGGCAUAUAUAUAUUGGUUGAUAUGAAAAUUGUUGAAUAUACUUGUACGAAAUCGACACAUGUGGCUUAGAAGUAUAAAUGUGCAUAUGAUUCAUGUAGUUUAUAAGUGGAAAUAUAAGUUUUUGACAUAUGUUUUUGAAAGAUCAUAAACAAGCAUUCAAUGAAAUGCAAAUGAUAAGUAUAUUUGGAAUAUAUAUAUGCAAUUAAUGAUUAUGUAUGUAACUUGAUUUUUAGGUAUAUAAUGAUUAUACAUGUGAUCGUUUAUAUGUAUUUUGGUUAUGCUAUAAACUUACUAAGCUAUAAAAGCUUACUUUGAAUGUUUUUGUUCAUUUGUUUUAUAGAUUUUGGAGACGCGUUACGAGCUCGGGGAUCAUCAGCAUAGUCUAUCACACUAUCGACUUCUUUUGGUAUUUUAUUAACAGUUUGAACUCGAUCUUAUGGCAUGUAUAGGUUUGAGUAUGAUUUUGGUUAGAUUUGGAUUGUAUAUAUAUAUAAAUAGCCAUGCGAAGAUGGUUUAAUUUCCAUGUUUGUGAUCAGUUUGGUUUUUUUAAAAAAAUGGUUGUGUUUGUUCGGUAAUGCCUCGUAACCCUAAUUCGGCGACGGAUACGGGUUUGUCAUCAUUAUUAUCCAUAUUUUCAUUAUUAUCCCUAUUUUCCGCUAGAUCUCUUGAGUUAUUCCUUAUAAAUUGUCUUUUCCCAUUGUUCCCACGCCCCUGUUCCUCUCCUUCUUCUCGCAACCAUACGCUUGUCAUCAU
RNAcentral lists this long non-coding RNA (7690 nucleotides) under Gossypium barbadense (sea-island cotton). RNAcentral's name for it is "long non-coding RNA (GBAR_LNC022069)". The record is from RNAcentral. Lineage: Eukaryota; Viridiplantae; Streptophyta; Magnoliopsida; Malvales; Malvaceae.